UUCCUUGUUGGAUUCCAGAUGGGAUCGUAAGCUCGGAGAGGCUAGCAGGGCGCCAUCCGCCCCAGUUUAAAUCGAAGGGGCGGCGCGCGAGGCCGGCAGUCCAUAACGCGCAGCGCACGCUUUUCCGAACGUCCGCACCAAUUUUCCCGCACGAUUUCUGAACGAAGCUUUACUUUUCGCGCGCCGCAAAAGUUUUGAAUUUAGAAUUCGACGCGUAUCCAAAAAGAGAGAAAUUCCAACCGUCCACACCACAACGUAACAACGCACAUGCCACAACACUAGCAAUGAUCGUGUUUCACGUUGGCGACGGUGGUGUCAGGCCGCCAUGGACGCUAGUGCUGUACCUGGCUAGUGUUGUGCUCGCUAGUGAUGUGCUACCUGCCUCGGGGGAGAACUCGGAGACGGUGCCACUGACGGGGGUACAACUGGACACGCUCGCAGAGUUUGUGUGCUACGACUUGUCUAUGGACUCCUUGGUCGAUGUCGCUAUCUGCCAAAAGGAUUUUUUGAGUAAGUUGUUACCUAAAUAGCUCAUAACUUACUUAACGUUACUGGACGUAUUGGUUUCAAGAGUGUCGUAAAUUAACGAAAUAAUCUCUUAAUUCGGAUGAUUAACACUAGAGCUGGCGUAGGUUUGUCACUGUGGUGAAAGGAUUCGCCAGUCAUAUUAGUUGUUAAUCGCGGACUGCCCAUACGUGACCCUUGGCGGCUCCUUUCACACCACUAGGUACCUACUAGAAUCUAUAGAUGUGAAUGUUUCCUCACGAUAUUUUCCUUCACGCACCGUAAGAAUCCGUGUUAUAAUUUUACUAAAUUUUCUUAUUUUUAAUAAAUUUAUUGGGCUGGAUUCUAACCCCAGAAUUCAACUGUGUAUAAUAAAAUUAACAAACAACCUUACUCCAGGCGA
Plutella xylostella (diamondback moth) is the source of this 907-nucleotide non-coding RNA. The record is from RefSeq and is a predicted model, not a curated record. Lineage: Eukaryota; Metazoa; Arthropoda; Insecta; Lepidoptera; Plutellidae.